CAUAUUUUUAAUCUCAUUCGCGGCAAAAGAAUAGAGCUUAGGCUCAAGCAACCCAUCUUUAGGCCUAAUAUUGGACCUAGCCCACAAUUGCCAAGCCCAUAAUUCCUAGGCCCAUACCCCUUAACCUAAACCCCUACCACUAACCUAGACCUAUAUAUAUUAAACAAAGCCUAAAACUAAAGGGGGGAUCAGCACAAAUAGAGAGGGAGGAGAACGACAAAAAGAAACAGCAAAAGCUGCGCAUAAAGGAAAAAGAAAGCUAAGAAAAGCUGCGCGCAGAACGACCCACCCCUCGGAUCGUCUCCUUCACAUCCCCCCACCCAAACGACUACUGAACUUCAGCCCUCACCUUAACCAACACCUUCCUCAACAAAAAAUCAAAAAAAAGAGUGUCGAAGACCCCCUAUCGAAUCCUAAGCAGCGACACCCACGAGCAGCUACUGUUGUUGUUGCAUGUUGUCGCAGUUCCGGCGAGCUAGAGGCCUAGACGUAAUUCUGUUUCCGGUCAGAGGUCCGUCGAGGUCCGGUGCGUCGAGGUUCGUCCAUGGUUCAUCGCAUUUUUGAGUUCAGCGCUACCUCGCCAUUAAUAUUCUGAUUCACUUUUGAGGUUUUGUUGAAUGCUUAAAGAGAGACAUCGAAAUGAAGAAGUUUUGUGAUGAUCCAUCUCAAGAGACCAACAUCAUCAUUGUUACACAUGGACUGAGCAGUCGUAUUUUCCUAAUGAAAUGGUUCGAGUGGACUAUUGAGCAGUUUGAGGAUCUUAACAGGAUGAGAACUUGUGAAUUUCAAGUGCUGCAAUUAGGGCAGGGAGGAGAACACAGCCUAGCAUUUCAUCACGAUGAUAAGAAACUUAAGGAAUGGGGAUUAUCCCUUGACAUGAUCGAUGAUCAGAAACAUAGAGCUUUUGCCCCUAUUGUUAAUUCUCUGGAACGUUGUGAUUUAUAUCCUUACAUGGAUUGCUUUGCAGAAGAUUCAGAUGAAGUGAAUGCUUCUAUUAUGUAA
This is a long non-coding RNA of Nicotiana tabacum (common tobacco), 1002 nucleotides long. RefSeq lists it as uncharacterized. Lineage: Eukaryota; Viridiplantae; Streptophyta; Magnoliopsida; Solanales; Solanaceae. The record is from RefSeq and is a predicted model, not a curated record.